This 373-nucleotide ribosomal RNA is filed under the name uncultured bacterium. RNAcentral describes it as "bacterial SSU rRNA". It matches the Rfam family "Bacterial small subunit ribosomal RNA", at positions 521 to 896 of the family's 1533-position model. The record is from RNAcentral.
UAAUACGGAGGAUCCGAGCGUUAUCCGGAUUUAUUGGGUUUAAAGGGUGCGUAGGCGGAAUGGUAAGUCAGAGGUGAAAUCCUGCAGCUCAACUGUAGAAUAGCCUUUGAAACUGUCGUUCUUGAGUACAUUUGAGGUAGGCGGAAUGUGGUGUGUAGCGGUGAAAUGCAUAGAUAUACCACAGAACACCGAUUGCGAAGGCAGCUUACUAAACUGUAACUGACGCUGAGGCACGAAAGCGUGGGUAUCAAACAGGAUUAGAUACCCUGGUAGUCCACGCUGUAAACGAUGAUUACUGGUUGUUUGCGAUACACAGCAAGUGACUGAGGGAAACCAUUAAGUAAUCCACCUGGGGAGUACGUCGGCAACGAUG